AGUUCAUGGUAUGGACAUUUUUGAAACAAAUCUCUAAACCUUUUCCACGUUUCAUAUAAUGAUGCAUCCUCUUGUUGGUUAAAACUAGUUAUAUCCAUUCUAAAUUU
Coffea eugenioides is the source of this 107-nucleotide small nucleolar RNA. The record is from RefSeq and is a predicted model, not a curated record. NCBI's taxonomy places the organism in Eukaryota, Viridiplantae, Streptophyta, Magnoliopsida, Gentianales, Rubiaceae.